CUGGGAAUAUUCUUACUGUUCUGAUUUUGUAAUGAUCAGGGCAGGCUAAACACUCAGUAUAUUAAGACCAGGUAUGUGUCCCCGGACCUAGUUCUUUCCCUAGGCCUGGUUUUAUAAAUGCUGGUGACAAAC
This is a small nucleolar RNA of 132 nucleotides. Its record names the gene SNORA72. It matches the Rfam family "Small nucleolar RNA SNORA72". Rfam says of the family: U72 is a member of the H/ACA class of snoRNAs. The snoRNA gene is located in intron 4 of the ribosomal L30 protein gene in human, mouse and chicken. The record is from Ensembl.